CCUACGGGUGGCAGCAGUGAGGAAUAUUGGUCAAUGGGCGCGAGCCUGAACCAGCCAAGUAGCGUGAAGGAUGACUGCCCUACGGGUUGUAAACUUCUUUUAUAAAGGAAUAAAGUGAGGAACGUGUGCCUUUUUGUAUGUACUUUAUGAAUAAGGAUCGGCUAACUCCGUGCCAGCAGCCGCGGUAAUACGGAGGAUCCGAGCGUUAUCCGGAUUUAUUGGGUUUAAAGGGACCGUAGAUGGGUUGUUAAGUCAGUUGUGAAAGUUUGCGGCACAACCGUAAAAUUGCAAUUGAUACUGGCAGCCUUGAGUACAGUUGAGGUAGGCGGAGUUCGUGGUGUAGCAGUGAAAUGCUUAGAUAUCACGAAGAACAACGAUUGCGAAGGCAGCCGAAUAAACUGCCACUGACAUUGAUGCGCGAAAGUGUGGGUAUCAAACAGGAUUAGAUACACUUGUAGUC
RNAcentral lists this ribosomal RNA (460 nucleotides) under uncultured bacterium. RNAcentral's name for it is "partial 16S ribosomal RNA". It matches the Rfam family "Bacterial small subunit ribosomal RNA", at positions 338 to 795 of the family's 1533-position model. The record is from RNAcentral.